ACUCAAAUGAAUUGACGGGGGCUCGCACAAGCGGUGGAGCAUGUGGUUUAAUUCGAUGUAACGCGAAAAACCUUACCAGGGAUAAGUAAAGCUAAAUUUUAAUUGAAAGAUUUAAAUUAAAGAUUUUACAAGGUGGUGCAUGGCUGUCGUCAGUUCGUGUUGUGAGAUGUUGGGUUAAUUCCCGUAACGAACGCAACCCUAAUUUUUUGUUAUUUGUCAAAAAAUAUCGGUGAACAAACUGAUUAUUUGGGAAGACGUCAAGUCAGCAUGCCCCUAAUAUUCUGGGCUACACACGUGCCACAAAGUACAAUACAAUAAGUUGCUUUUUUGUAAAAAAUGGCUAAUCUACAAAAUUGUAUUCAGUUCGAAUUGUAGACUGAAACUCGUCUACAUGAAGUUGGAAUCGCUAGUAAUCGCUGAUCAGAAGAGCAGCGGUGAAUGAGUUUUUUACGAGCCCUGUACACACCGCCCGU
RNAcentral lists this ribosomal RNA (473 nucleotides) under uncultured bacterium. RNAcentral's name for it is "partial 16S ribosomal RNA". It matches the Rfam family "Bacterial small subunit ribosomal RNA", at positions 899 to 1397 of the family's 1533-position model. The record is from RNAcentral.